CCCAGGGCAGGUGGGCGCCGCUCCCUCCCCGUCCUCCAGCCGCCCUGACGGGCGCAGACGGCCUCCCACGCAGGCGACACCUGAGUGCCCUCCACCUGCGGGGACGGUUCCGGACGCAGACACAGGCGGGAGUCGGUCCAACCCAAUAACGUCUCCAAAUGGGGUGUCAGGGUUGAAGAUGGCCUGCAACACUGCCUGAUCUUUUGGAGUCCCCAUGGUGCUCAACUCUAAAAUCUGAAAAGGUGACUCAAGAUGAAAGAAGAGGGAGAAAAUGGUGGAGGCUGGGCCUCACAGCCAGCAGAUCAAGAGGGAGGAGGUUCUGUUUGAGGACCAUUCCCCCUGAGGAGGAGCGUCUUCCAUUCUUUGGCUGUAGUGUAAACUCAACCCCCUUUGGCCUGGGGUUAGGGACCUUGGCUUGGCAGAACAUUUACAAAUAUCUCAACCGCCUCCCCACCCCCACCCCAGGCCUAGGAGAAACAGUAAAUAAAUCCAGUUUCAGCCUUAAGGUGGAGUGGAGCAAAGAGAGGGUGCUGUCCAGGUUCUCCCUGAAAUGCUUUCAUUUUAUUAUACUGAUAGACUGGGAGAAAGUGCUUUGAAGCCACUGCUUGACAGCCCAUGGAUAAAGGAGGAGGGUAUGUAGGAGGUAAAGGAACUAUUCCUUUUUCCUCUUGACCCCUUCCUCAUAUCCAGAGUUACUUUGGGCCUGAACAUACAUCACUGAUGAGUAAGGCAUCGACCGUUUUGGGGAUGAUACAGUUAAGAGAGCCAGUGUGGAGUGGGGCCUGAAGGCAGGCGGUGAGGAAUGACUUCAUGAUUCCACUUUAAAAGAAAGGACUGGGGAAGGCACUUUGUCCUCAGGUCUCAGGCAGCUCCCCUCCCCCAUUUCUCCACCCCAGCCAAAGUCAAAAGAAAGCUCGACCAUGUGCAGCAAUAAACUUGACAUGUUUAUUAAUUAAACUAUCACUUAAAUAAAAAAAAGUGCAUAGAAAAUAAA
Molecule: long non-coding RNA, 994 nt
Organism: Equus quagga
Lineage: Eukaryota; Metazoa; Chordata; Mammalia; Perissodactyla; Equidae
Exons: 2
Source: RefSeq, a predicted model, not a curated record